UCCCCGUUGCCGGGGCAGUCUGAAUAGAAAAAUCCAACUAUUCAUAAGGGUUGCGCUCGUUAAAGGACUUAACCUAACAUCUCACGACACGAGCUGACGACGGCCAUGCAACAUCUGUCACCGAGUUCAAUAAAGCACACUCUGCUUUCGCAGAACUUCUCGGGAUGUCAAGCCCUGGUAAGGUUUAUCGUUUACCAUCGAAUUAAAGAACAUGCUCCACCGCUUGUGCGGGUCCCCGUCAAUUCCUUUAUGUUUUAGCCUUGCGGCCGUACUCCACAGGCGGGAUGCUUAACGCGUUAGCUUCGCUACGGAAGGGGUCGAUACCCCCCACAGCUAGCAUCCAUCGUUUACGGCGUGGACUAC
Molecule: unclassified non-coding RNA, 363 nt
Filed under: uncultured bacterium
Lineage: Bacteria
Description: contains 16S-23S intergenic spacer region
Source: RNAcentral